RNAcentral lists this ribosomal RNA (708 nucleotides) under uncultured eukaryote. RNAcentral's name for it is "bacterial SSU rRNA". It matches the Rfam family "Eukaryotic small subunit ribosomal RNA", at positions 687 to 1426 of the family's 1831-position model. The record is from RNAcentral.
UUCGUGUUAGUCAGUGCACUUUCUGUUUCGGACUCGGGUGGGAUAGCUUCGGCUGUACUGCUCUGUUACUUUGAGCAAAUUGGAGUGCUCCAACAGCUAUAGCUUAAACAGCUCAGCAUGCAAUAACAAUAUAGGACUGUGAUCCUCCUUGUUGUGACGUGGAACACAAGUAAUGUGAUAGGACAUACGGGGGCAUCUGUACUUGCUGGAGAGAGGUGAAAUUCUAAGACCCAGCAAAGACAACAAGUGCGAAAGCAUUUGCCCAGUGUGUGCCUGUUAAUCAAGGACGAAAGUUGGGGGAUCGAAGACGCUUAGAUACCGUCGUAGUCCCAACUAUAAACUAUGCCGACUGAGGAUCGGAGGCUGUACAAAUACAACUCCUUCGGCACUCCAAGAGAAAUCUAAGUCUCUGGGCCCUGGGGGGAGUAUGGUCGCAAGGCUGAAACUUAAAGGAAUUGACGGAAGGGCACCACCAGGAGUGGAGCCUGCGGCUUAAUUUGACUCAACGCGGGGAACCUCACCAGGCCCGGACAUAGUCAUGAUUGACAGAUUGAGAGUUCUUUCUCGAUUCUAUGGGUGGUGGUGCAUGGCCGUUCUUAGUCGGUGAGGUGACUUGUCUGGUUAAUUCCGAUAACGGACGAGACCUCGACCUACUAACUAGCCAACAGUUACUCUUGUAAUUGCUUGGCUUCUUAGAGGGACUUUGUG